Molecule: non-coding RNA, 213 nt
Organism: Vicia faba (fava bean)
Lineage: Eukaryota; Viridiplantae; Streptophyta; Magnoliopsida; Fabales; Fabaceae
Source: the annotation of a GenBank genome assembly
AUGGCUACCUGCAUCAAGAUGUUUUUUUUCAUUGCGAUUCUGUGCAUUGCUUCUAUUUUGACUCCAGGUGGAGCAUUUGGUUAUCCACUUUACUGUGAAAAAAGUGACUUCUGUCCAAAAAAUGAUGAUGCUUGUUCUGACCGAUGUCACAAACUUGGUUACCGUACCGGCGGUCUCUGUCAAGGAGUACACUUUUGUUGUUGCGGAUUCUAG